CGGACGGGUGAGUAAUGUCUGGGAAACUGCCCGAUGGAGGGGGAUAACUACUGGAAACGGUAGCUAAUACCGCAUAACGUCGCAAGACCAAAGAGGGGGACCUUAGGGCCUCUUGCCAUCAGAUGUGCCCAGAUGGGAUUAGCUAGUAGGUGGGGUAAUGGCUCACCUAGGCGACGAUCCCUAGCUGGUCUGAGAGGAUGACCAGCCACACUGGAACUGAGACACGGUCCAG
RNAcentral lists this ribosomal RNA (232 nucleotides) under uncultured bacterium. Its description in RNAcentral is "partial 16S ribosomal RNA". It matches the Rfam family "Bacterial small subunit ribosomal RNA", at positions 99 to 334 of the family's 1533-position model. The record is from RNAcentral.